This 738-nucleotide ribosomal RNA is filed under the name uncultured Rhizophagus. RNAcentral describes it as "SSU rRNA". It matches the Rfam family "Eukaryotic small subunit ribosomal RNA", at positions 357 to 1096 of the family's 1831-position model. Lineage: Eukaryota; Fungi; Glomeromycota; Glomeromycetes; Glomerales; Glomeraceae. The record is from RNAcentral.
GGGUACGGGGUGUUAGGGCACGACACCGGAGAGGGAGCCUGAGAAACGGCUACCACAUCCAAGGGUGGCAGCAGGCGCGCAAAUUACCCAAUCCCGACACGGGGAGGUAGUGACAAUAAAUAACAAUACGGGGUUCUUUAGGAUCUCGUAAUUGGAAUGAGUACAAUUUAAAUCUCUUAACGAGGAACAAUUGGAGGGCAAGUCUGGUGCCAGCAGCCGCGGUAAUUCCAGCUCCAAUAGCGUAUAUUAAAGUUGUUGCAGUUAAAAAGCUCGUAGUUGAAUUUCGGGGUUAGUAGGUUGGUCAUGCCUCUGGUAUGUACUGGUCUCACUGAUUCCUCCUUCCUGAUGAACCUUAAUGCCAUUAAUUUGGUGUUUUGGGGAAUUUGGACUGUUACUUUGAAAAAAUUAGAGUGUUUAAAGCAAGCUAACGCUUGAAUACAUUAGCAUGGAAUAAUGAAAUAGGACGUUCGAUCCUAUUUUGUUGGUCUCUAGGAUUGACGUAAUGAUUAAUAGGGAUAGUUGGGGGCAUUAGUAUUCAAUUGUCAGAGGUGAAAUUCUUGGAUUUAUUGAAGACUAACUACUGCGAAAGCAUUUGCGCAAGGAUGUUUUCAUUAAUCAAGAACGAAAGUUAGGGGAUCGAAGACGAUCAGAUACCGUCGUAGUCUUAACCAUAAACUAUGCCGACUAGGGAUCGGAUGAUGUUAAUUUUUUAAUGACUCAUUCGGCGCCUUACGGAAC